CACCACCACUGCCUAACUGCUCUCUCUCUCUCUCUCUCUCUCUCUCUCUCUCUCUCUCUCGGAAACGAGAAAGAGAAUGAGAAAGUGGAGAAGAGAGGAGAGAGAGAGAAAGAGAGAGAGGUUCGCAGUGGUGGUG
This 136-nucleotide microRNA precursor is filed under the name Prunus dulcis (almond). RNAcentral's name for it is "sRNA ncRNA". Lineage: Eukaryota; Viridiplantae; Streptophyta; Magnoliopsida; Rosales; Rosaceae. The record is from RNAcentral.